Triticum urartu is the source of this 511-nucleotide non-coding RNA. NCBI's taxonomy places the organism in Eukaryota, Viridiplantae, Streptophyta, Magnoliopsida, Poales, Poaceae. The record is from RefSeq and is a predicted model, not a curated record.
AUUCCCAACGGCCUCAUCACCGUCUUGCUGAAGUUAUACUGGCCGGGGUUGUACUGUCCGGAUCCAGUCAGGCAGCCGGCUCGUCGGGUUUUGGCCACAAGCUGGGACCACUGGGAAGUGGCCCGCCACGCGGACCAUGAGACCCAUGCCAAGGCCGUGAUCACUACUUUCUGGAAAUUCUAUCGAGUUCUUCUGGAGCACAGGGCUAGAGCGGACCAGAUCGUGCUGCGCCAAUGCAAGAAGAAGGCCCGCUAGAUGCAGUACGAGGUGCGCUAUGUGGCCAUCUCCACAUACUACCACGACUAUCUUGGUGUGAAGAUGACCAAGGAAGAAGCGCGGAGGAUGGGCAUUACCUUGGAGAGGCCCGAGUUCUUGGCGGUGUGUCCAAAUUGGUGUUAUGGAAAAGACGAGUCCUGGGCGGCAUUGGUGGAUCUUUGGUGUGAUGAGGCUGGAGCCUGGGCGGCUAUGAGAACCAAAAAUAAGGCUAACCGAGGGACGGAGGGAUUACAUG